AGAGUAUAGCUCAGCAGUAAAGCGUGUGCUUAGCAUCCAUGAGGUCCUGGGUUCAAUCCCCAGUACCUCUA
Molecule: transfer RNA, 71 nt
Filed under: Camelus bactrianus (Bactrian camel)
Lineage: Eukaryota; Metazoa; Chordata; Mammalia; Artiodactyla; Camelidae
Also listed under: 2 other names
Rfam family: tRNA
About the family: Transfer RNA (tRNA) molecules are approximately 80 nucleotides in length. Their secondary structure includes four short double-helical elements and three loops (D, anti-codon, and T loops). Further hydrogen bonds mediate the characteristic L-shaped molecular structure. tRNAs have two regions of fundamental functional importance: the anti-codon, which is responsible for specific mRNA codon recognition, and the 3' end, to which the tRNAs corresponding amino acid is attached (by aminoacyl-tRNA synthetases). tRNAs cope with the degeneracy of the genetic code in two manners: having more than one tRNA (with a specific anti-codon) for a particular amino acid; and 'wobble' base-pairing, i.e. permitting non-standard base-pairing at the 3rd anti-codon position.
Source: Rfam by way of RNAcentral